This 374-nucleotide ribosomal RNA is filed under the name uncultured organism. RNAcentral describes it as "bacterial SSU rRNA". It matches the Rfam family "Bacterial small subunit ribosomal RNA", at positions 525 to 896 of the family's 1533-position model. The record is from RNAcentral.
CAGGAGGUUGCAAACGUUGUUCGGAAUCACUGGGCAUAAAGCGCACGUAGGCGGUCUGUUAAGUCAGGUCGUGAAAGCCCCCGGCUCAACCGGGGAACAGCAUUUGAUACUGGCAGACUCGAGGAUGUAGGGGUGAGUGGAACUCCAGGUGGAGCGGUGAAAUGCGUAGAUAUCUGGAGGAACACCGGUGGCGAAAGCGGCUCACUGGACCAUAACUGACGCUGAGGUGCGAAAGCUAGGGUAGCAAACGGGAUUAGAUACCCCGGUAGUCCUAGCCGUAAACGAUGGGUACUUGGCAGCGGGAGAACCUAUGUCUCUCUCUGCCGGAGCUAAUGUGUUAAGUACCCCGCCUGGGGAGUACGCUCGCAAGGGUA